GGGUGGAGAGCCACGACCGGUUCGUCGGCGGCGAGAAACUCCCGGGCAAGGUGACCUUCGUCUCGGCGCAGGAGCAUACAGGCCCGGUGAGCGUCGGCCCGUCGGUGGACCGAGGAAGACCGUCGCGGAGCGGCGUCGACCGUUCGUCGUGUGUUGGCGUUCGACUCGGGGGGACUGGUUCCAGUGCCCUCGGACCGCGCCGGCGCAGCGGCGGGCGCGCACGGCGUCGCGCCUGGGGUCGGUGGCGAAACGGCCGGCAACCUGUCCGACCCGUCUUGAAACACGGACCAAGGAGUCUAACAUGUGCGCGAGUCGUUGGGCGCUACGAAACCCGAAGGCGCAAUGAAAGUGAAGGCCCGGUCUCCGGCCGGCCUGGGUGGGAUCCCGGCGGUCUCGGCCGUCGGGCGCACCACCGGCCCGUCUCGUUCGUUACGUCGAGGAGGCGGAGCAAGAGCGUACACGUUGGGACCCGAAAGAUGGUGAACUAUGCCCGAGUAGGACGAAGCCAGAGGAAACUCUGGUGGAGGUCCGCAGCGAUUCUGACGUGCAAAUCGAUCGUCAAACUUGGGUAUAGGGGCGAAAGACUAAUCGAACCAUCUAGUAGCUGGUUCCUGUCGAAGUUUCCCUCAGGAUAGCUGGCGCUCGUCGUGAGCAGUUUUAUCCGGUAAAGCGAAUGACUGGAGGCUUGGGA
This 691-nucleotide ribosomal RNA is filed under the name Eiseniella tetraedra. RNAcentral's name for it is "partial large subunit ribosomal RNA". The stretch from base 287 to 691 matches the Rfam family "Eukaryotic large subunit ribosomal RNA", at positions 665 to 1034 of the family's 3401-position model. Lineage: Eukaryota; Metazoa; Annelida; Clitellata; Crassiclitellata; Lumbricidae. The record is from RNAcentral.